UGCUUUCGCCACUGGUGUUCUUCCGAAUAUCUACGAAUUUCACCUCUACACUCGGAAUUCCACUUACCUCUCCGAUGUUCAAGCGAUGCAGUCUUAAAGGCAAUUCCAGGGUUGAGCCCUGGGCUUUCACCUCUAACUUACAAAGCCGCCUACGUGCGCUUUACGCCCAGUAAUUCCGAACAACGCUAGCCCCCUCCGUAUUACCGCGGCUGCUGGCACGGAGUUAGCCGGGGCUUAUUCUCCCGGUACUGUCAUUAUCAUCCCGGGUAAAAGAGCUUUACAACCCUAAGGCCUUCAUCACUCACGCGGCAUUGCUGGAUCAGGCUUUCGCCCAUUGUCCAAUAUUCCCCACUGCUGCACCCCAUAGGG
RNAcentral lists this unclassified non-coding RNA (369 nucleotides) under uncultured fungus. RNAcentral describes it as "sequence contains ITS1". The record is from RNAcentral. Lineage: Eukaryota; Fungi.